RNAcentral lists this ribosomal RNA (497 nucleotides) under uncultured bacterium. RNAcentral's name for it is "partial 16S ribosomal RNA". It matches the Rfam family "Bacterial small subunit ribosomal RNA", at positions 28 to 507 of the family's 1533-position model. The record is from RNAcentral.
GAUGAACGCUGGCGGCGUGCCUAAUACAUGCAAGUCGAGCGAACGGACGAGAAGCUUGCUUCUCUGAUGUUAGCGGCGGACGGGUGAGUAACACGUGGAUAACCUACCUAUAAGACUGGGAUAACUUCGGGAAACCGUAGCUAAUACCGGACAAUAUUUUGAACCGCAUGGUUCAAAAGUGAAAGACGGUCUUGCUGUCACUUAUAGAUGGAUCCGCGCUGCAUUAGAUAGUUGGUAAGGUAACGGCUUACCAAGGCAACGAUGCAUAGCCGACCUGAGAGGGUGAUCGGCCACACUGGAACUGAGCCACGGUCCAGACUCCUACGGGAGGCAGCAGUAGGGAAUCUUCCGCAAUGGGCGAAAGCCUGACGGAGCAACGCCGCGUGAGUGAUGAAGGUCUUCGGAUCGUAAAACUCUGUUAUUAGGGAAGAACAUAUGUGUAAGUAACUGUGCACAUCUUGACGGUACCUAAUCAGAAAGCCACGGCUAACUACGUG